This 337-nucleotide ribosomal RNA is filed under the name uncultured cyanobacterium. RNAcentral describes it as "bacterial SSU rRNA". It matches the Rfam family "Bacterial small subunit ribosomal RNA", at positions 356 to 707 of the family's 1533-position model. The record is from RNAcentral. Lineage: Bacteria; Bacillati; Cyanobacteriota.
GGGGAAUUUUCCGCAAUGGGCGAAAGCCUGACGGAGCAAUACCGCGUGAGGGAGGAAGGCUCUUGGGUUGUAAACCUCUUUUCUCAGGGAAKAAAAAAAUGAMGGUACCUGAGGAAUAAGCAUCGGCUAACUCCGUGCCAGCAGCCGCGGUAAUACGGAGGAUGCAAGCGUUAUCCGGAAUGAUUGGGCGUAAAGCGUCCGCAGGUGGCUAUGUAAGUCUGCUGUUAAAGAGCRAGGCUCAACCUYGUAAAGGCAGUGGAAACUACAUAGCUAGAGUGCGUUCGGGGCAGAGGGAAUUCCUGGUGUAGCGGUGAAAUGCGUAGAUAUCAGGAAGAAC